GAUCGGAACCAGCGGGCGGGGAGCAGCCCGGGGCUCCCUUCCGGGGCCGGAGCGCAGACCCCCGCAUCCUUCUGCGGACCUGCCUUAGCGCCUCGGCCGUUCCUCUGUGUCUGGCCGUGUGCACAGGGUUUGGCACUCGUUGUCUCAUUUAACCCUCGCAGCUUUCCUGUGCGGUCAGGAGCGAAGUUAACCCCAUUUUAUCGAUGGGGAAACUGAGGCACCAUGUUGCGACUUGCCCGAGUCAGCUAUUUCUUGACGGAAACAGGUCUCGGACCUAGUUUAUACCCCAAAGCUACGCCAUACAUCACUCCUAUCCCCUCUUCUGCCGCAUUGCUUCAGUUGCGGAGCGGCGGAGGGAAGAGAAAAUGAUGGCUGUGAAGGAGAAUGAUGGAGCCUCAGUCGAUGGUCGUUCACUUCUGGCGAAACUAGGUUUCUGUUAGGGCAGUUUACUGCGCAGACUUUUUUCCUCCUCCCCCUGCUCCCUCAGCCCGUCCCAGCCCUUUUGCCAGGCCAUUGCCUUCUCAUAUGCGUUCUCUUCAAAGCUACCCCUUUUUGGAAUGCCACCAUUGUUUUCAGAAUAGGAAAGGGUGACACUUGACCUGUCUUUUCUUGGCAUCUUUCAUGGUAAUAUAGAUGUGUAAACUUGAGCUGUAAGUCUUUCUGAACAUCCAUAAUUUAAGAAUUCAUAGAAGUACGGGUCCUAGGAGCAAGCUUUUAAGCUGGCAGUGCAGCAUAAAUUUAUUUUUGAAAGUUGUUGAAUAAGUCAGUGGGAAGAAUUUUUUUUCCUUUACCCCUUAAUCUCUUCUAUGUAUUGUAUUAGAGUAAACAUUGUGAUCGAUAGUGAUCUGAGCAACUGAAAGCUGCCGCGAGUGGCGUUUAUGCCUGUACCUCUGCUUGACACAAUGAAUUAAGAAAAAUAAAACUGUGUGGAUAGUGACAGGCGUAGUGCAGGGAAAAAAGCCAAGGUGGUCAAGUGUUGGGUUCUGUCUGAUCCGCUGAGUAGCUGUGGGGCAUUGCCCCUGCCAGUCUUACCAUUUCUGACCCACGGUUUGUUGUAGGAAAGUUCUUUUUUCACACAUAAAAGUACCAUGAAAAAAAAAUUUGAACAUUGUAAGUCUGUCUGCAAUUUUUCAGGAUCACAAUUGUUUUUCUAGAGUUAGGUCUUAACUUUUUUGGAACCCCCUUUGAUAAAUAGAUGAAAGCAAUGGACUCUAUAUUGCCCAGACAUCACAAAUACACAAUUUAUAAACAAAUCCCAGGGAGUAUGCACUGAUCUUGAAGUCCACCCAUUGCUCACAGAAAGCAGAAAGUCCUGAGCAAGAUUAUAGCUUAAUUUUCUUUUCUCAGAUGCCUCUCGCUUCCACAUAGCCAUAGUGGACAGCAGAGCUGGGAGUGUAAUUCAAGGUCUUCAUGUAGAAACUGUUCAUAAAAUUGGGGCCGCUAGAACUGUUGUUUAAAAAUACUUUUUUUUUCUAAGUAAACUAUAUCUUCCUAAGGGCUUGAGUUUUUUCAUACGAAUUGAUGAUUUUUUUUCUUGUAAGUUCUUUCAGAGUCAGCUUGGGUAAGUGGUAGUACUUUUUCCAAGAGAGAAGAAACUGAACUACAGUUAGGCUGCUGGUGGAAUCAGUGAUGUAAAUGGUGUCACACCUCAGUUGCAGGAGCUCUACCCCAAAGUCUGUCCUUUCAUUUAGCAAUGUGUGGAACUCCUUCUUUGUGCCACGCGCACAGGCAGUGUGGUCUUACAGUGAAAUGCAGACUGAUACUCCUGGUAGUAACAGCGCAGGCAGUUACCUCUGUCUGAACUCACUUGCAUGAUGUGGGCAAUACAAUGUCUUAAAACUAUUUUUGUGCCCCCACCUAUCCAAGUCAGAGUUCUUAAUCUGUGCGUGUAUGUGCAUACACAUGGACAGCUUUGGCAGUCUGAAGCCCAUAGACCUCUUUUCAUCUUUAUGUUUUCAAAUGCAUGAAAUACAUAGGAUUAUGAAGAAAACCAAUUACAGUGAACUACAUUUAUCGAAAACAUUUUUUAAAGUGGUGUUAACAUGUACUUUUGAACUGACUCAUUAAAUUAGACCUUCCGGUGUAAUUAUUACUAUUUUGAAGUAAUGAUGAAGGUCAACAGCAUUUCAAAAUAAUGUAAUUACUGUAAAGGUGAUAUGAAAAGAAUCAGUGAUUUCUGUUGGUGACAAAGUCACAGAUAUUGAUGCCACUGUGAAUAGCUGCCUUGAUUUGUAAUGGAAGGAAAUGCUGAAAUUUCAGCUAGAGGUUAGUGAAAUUAUGAAUGCAAUUCUGGACCUCAAGUUAAGAAACGGUGCUGUAGAGGAGCUGUGCCUAGGGGCACGUGGCCAUAAAUCCCACCUCAGUGCAGUGAUUCUCAGCCUCAGUUUUGGAGACGCCUUUUCAUGGAGGUAUGAUAUGUCAUAAUACAGAGGAAUAUAAAAACUAUUGGUUAGACUUUCCAGAUCUUUGAUUCCUGCUUGCCAUCAAUAGUAAUAGCCAGCAGAGGACAAAAUAAGUGGACACAGCAUAUUAACUGAUGAUUAACUGAUGAAAAAGCCCAGAAAUAGUCAUCUGUUUUUACUGUGGAGACACUGUAAGGAAAAUGUUAUAACUUUAAAAAUUUUGUAUUAACAUAACCAUGUUUUCCUAUAGUAAAAUUAUUUGUAGUUCAAUAGAAUUAACUCUGUUAGUGGUUCAAGAACUUGACUUCCAGAUGUUCCACCAUUUGAAUAAAUUUGGGCAUUGUUGCAGAGCGAAGAACCAGAUCCUGUCAACUACACUUGGAAUGAAAAGCCCCAUUAUUGGUUCUUGACAGUGAGAGGACUAAUUCCUCCAUGGGACCACUGGAUAAAAAUGCUGCUGCUUUGUUUUCUUUUGCUGUAACCUGUUUCACACAGACUUACUGGAGAUGUUGUGAUUUGAACAGAGAAUGAAUCUGUGUUCUAUAGGUAGUCUGGCCUGCCUGAGCCGAGAUGCCAGAGCUGAUUGGGUAAUGCUCUGAGCCAAGAGCUGAAGAGGUGCUGUGCCAGAAUUAUCUCAAAGUUUGACAGGCAGCACCUCUCUGUAGCUAUUGAGCAAUAGUAAUCAGGAACAGGUUUGAGGGAGGACAGAUGGAAAAGACCAGAAAAAGCUCAUUUAUUCUCUCAGAAUUUUGCUUUAGCUGAUUUUGGAACAUUAACAUUUGUAGGAAAAUGUUCCCCUAACUGGAGUGGUAUAUUGGUGGCAGGGGUUGGGGAGGGUGUAACUUGCGCUUUUUAAAAAACUACAUUAUACACACACACACACACACACACACACACACACACAUGCAUUCACCUUCACAUUCUGGUACCUAUAGCACUGUGUGUAAUAAAGUGAAAUACAGUUUCCUCUCAAAGAGUAUAAUAACAAGGUAGACAUGGCACCUUUUACGUCUUUUAAAAACAUAAGGUAUGAGUAUCAUGAGAAGUAAUUUAUGUUGUUAUCCAGAAAAGUAAUUGUAAGUGAAGUCACGCCUCCAAGGAGUAAAUAAACAUUUUAUGUUGCA
Manis javanica (Malayan pangolin) is the source of this 3526-nucleotide long non-coding RNA. RefSeq lists it as uncharacterized. The record is from RefSeq and is a predicted model, not a curated record. NCBI's taxonomy places the organism in Eukaryota, Metazoa, Chordata, Mammalia, Pholidota, Manidae.